UAAUAAGCGUUUUAUGGCACUUUUUAAAUCCAUAUCCACCUUGUGUGCAAUGUCAGUCGAUCUUCUUCAUGGAUAUCGACCAAACAUCAACCUUUAUUUUUUAACUCUUUGUCUGAAAAAUAUUAUGAAUAAACAAUUCAAAAUA
Molecule: unclassified non-coding RNA, 145 nt
Filed under: soil metagenome
Description: partial internal transcribed spacer 1
Source: RNAcentral